GAUGAACGCUGGCGGCGUGCUUAACACAUGCAAGUCGAACGAAGCACCUUGAUUCGAUUCUUCGGAUGAAGAUCUUGGUGACUGAGUGGCGGACGGGUGAGCAACGCGUGGGUAACCUGCCCCAUACAGGGGGAUAACAGUUAGAAAUGACUGCUAAUACCGCAUAAGAUCACAGCCCCGCAUGGUGCAGGGGUAAAAACUGCGCGGGUAUGAGAUGGACCCGCGUCUGAUUAGGUAGUUGGUGGGGUAACGGCCUACCAAGCCGACGAUCAGUAGCCGAACUGAGAGCAUGACCGGCCACAUUGGGAGUGAGACACGGACCGAACACCUACGGAAGGAAGCAGGGGGGAAUAUUGAACAAUGGGGGAGUCCAUGAUGCAGCGGCGCCGCGUGAGCGAUGAAGUAUUGCGGUAUGUAAAGCACUAUGAGCAGGGAAGAAAAUGACGGUACCUGACGAAGAAGCAACGGCUAAAUACGUG
Molecule: ribosomal RNA, 479 nt
Filed under: uncultured bacterium
Lineage: Bacteria
Description: partial 16S ribosomal RNA
Rfam family: Bacterial small subunit ribosomal RNA
Source: RNAcentral